RNAcentral lists this ribosomal RNA (430 nucleotides) under Pseudomonadota bacterium. Its description in RNAcentral is "Proteobacteria bacterium partial 16S ribosomal RNA". It matches the Rfam family "Bacterial small subunit ribosomal RNA", at positions 355 to 776 of the family's 1533-position model. Lineage: Bacteria; Pseudomonadati; Pseudomonadota. The record is from RNAcentral.
UGGGGAAUAUUGGACAAUGGGCGCAAGCCUGAUCCAGCCAUGCCGCGUGUGUGAAGAAGGCCUUAUGGUUGUAAAGCACUUUAAGCGAGGAGGAGGCUACUUUAGUUAAUACCUAGAGAUAGUGGACGUUACUCGCAGAAUAAGCACCGGCUAACUCUGUGCCAGCAGCCGCGGUAAUACAGAGGGUGCAAGCGUUAAUCGGAAUUACUGGGCGUAAAGCGCGCGUAGGUGGUUCGUUAAGUUGAAUGUGAAAGCCCCGGGCUCAACCUGGGAACUGCAUCCAAGACUGGCGAGCUAGAGUAGGGCAGAGGGUGGUGGAAUUUCCUGUGUAGCGGUGAAAUGCGUAGAUAUAGGAAGGAACACCAGUGGCGAAGGCGACCACCUGGGCUCAUACUGACACUGAGGUGCGAAAGCGUGGGGAGCAAACAGG